AGUUCGGAUCGCAGGCUGNAACCCGCCUGCGUGAAGUCGGAAUCGCUAGUAAUCGCGGAUCAGCAUGCCGCGGUGAAUACGUUCCCGGGCCUUGUACACACCGCCCGUCACACCAUGAGAGUCGGGAACACCCGAAGCCCGUAGCCUAACUUUAACGAGAGGGCGCGGUCGAAGGUGGGUUCGAUAAUUGGGGUGAAGUCGUAACAAGGUAAC
This 213-nucleotide ribosomal RNA is filed under the name uncultured bacterium. Its description in RNAcentral is "partial 16S ribosomal RNA". It matches the Rfam family "Bacterial small subunit ribosomal RNA", at positions 1290 to 1500 of the family's 1533-position model. The record is from RNAcentral.